AUACGUAGGUGGCAAGCGUUGUCCGGAUUUACUGGGCGUAAAGGAUGCGUAGGCGGAUAUUUAAGUGAGAUGUGAAAAUCCCGGGCUUAACUUGGGAACUGCAUUUCAAACUGGGUAUCUAGAGUGCAGGAGAGGAAAGCGGAAUUCCUAGUGUAGCGGUGAAAUGCGUAGAGAUUAGGAAGAACACCAGUGGCGAAGGCGGCUUUCUGGACUGUAACUGACGCUGAGGCAUGAAAGCGUGGGGAGCAAACAGGAUUAGAUACCCUGGUAGUCCACGCCGUAAACGAUGGAUACUAGGUGUAGGAGGUAUCGACCCCUUCGGUGCCGGAGUUAACACAAUAAGUAUCCCACCUGGGGAGUACGGCCGCAAGGUUGAA
This 377-nucleotide ribosomal RNA is filed under the name uncultured bacterium. Its description in RNAcentral is "bacterial SSU rRNA". It matches the Rfam family "Bacterial small subunit ribosomal RNA", at positions 523 to 898 of the family's 1533-position model. The record is from RNAcentral.